UAGUUAACGGUAGGGUGGAGCUAAGGA
RNAcentral lists this non-coding RNA (27 nucleotides) under Mus musculus (house mouse). The record is from RNAcentral. Lineage: Eukaryota; Metazoa; Chordata; Mammalia; Rodentia; Muridae.